UCAAAACUCUUAAUUUUAAAUAUAAUAUAUAAUAAAAAUAUGAUAAAAUUUACUCAAUACAUAUAUAUCAAAGUCUUUUCUAUAAAUGUAUUAUAUCUCCUAAUAAUAUUAAAAAAAAUUAUCAAAUAAGAUAAAACUUAUAGGCUUCAAACCCGAUUUUUAACUCAUUCUUUCCAGAAUGCAAAAUAUAGCACAAAUUUUCAAAUCAAACCAACGCCGUUAGGUGAGAAGGUGACUCGACUAAGGGAUCUGCUGACGAGGAUGGAUGAGUUGGCAAUCAUGAGUAGUAGAUUAUACAGUCAGCACAGUUAAAAAAUCUAUGGCCCAGAUCCAUCCUACCCUCAUCCGGACCCCCUCAUCCUCUCAGAAGCUUGUCAUGGAAGCUUAUUCUCCUCCUCUCCUUCACUCUCCAUCGAUUCUAAUCUGAAUCCUUCACCGAUUUUUGGUCGUCUACUCUUGGAUUUAGCGAGGAACCCCGCUUACUAGGCUGUUUGACUUGGGCUGUAGUCGAAGUCAGUAACCGGUAGCAACCCGGGCGGAAUAGAGUUUAGGAGCUGUGAAGGUAUGGUUCUGGAUGCAUCUGAGGGUAUUUUUUACUUUCUCCCACUGAUUGUGUAUUUAUAGGGUAUAUGGUUUGCGCUGAUCUGUCGUUAUUAAUUGGACCAUGAAGAAUGAAGCAGACAACGACUAGCUACCACUAAACUCAUCUAUAGUUAGGCUACUAGUGACAAGAGGGAAGGACGAGAAGACAAAAAAAAAGCAACGAAGAGGAGAGGUGGGCAAGGAUGAUAGCGACGGAAGCGGCAGAAUCAAAGCGAGUGUUACGAAACGCCGGCGGCGAGAGAAAGAGUUGAGCUUUACAGGGCCGAGAUGAUGAGUGAUAUAAAGGUAGGGGAGAUGUGGUGAAAAAUAUUAAAAAUUUACCUUACACGGGUGACGUGCAACCUAAGACUGCGGGACAUCCUACCUGAAUUCCAUUUCUUAUCCACCAUUCACGCCGUAAAAGUUUCGAUUAAGUAUAACAAUCAGCAAUAAAAUCAAAUGAAAUUUCAUUUGUCUGAUUUGAAAACUUUGUUAUAUUUUGUAUUUUGGAAAGAAUGAACAAAUUGAGUUUGAAG
This 1118-nucleotide long non-coding RNA is filed under the name Linum usitatissimum (flax). Its description in RNAcentral is "long non-coding RNA (LUSI_LNC006427)". The record is from RNAcentral. Lineage: Eukaryota; Viridiplantae; Streptophyta; Magnoliopsida; Malpighiales; Linaceae.